This 253-nucleotide ribosomal RNA is filed under the name uncultured bacterium. RNAcentral describes it as "partial 16S ribosomal RNA". It matches the Rfam family "Bacterial small subunit ribosomal RNA", at positions 524 to 776 of the family's 1533-position model. The record is from RNAcentral.
UACGUAGGUGGCAAGCGUUGUCCGGAUUUACUGGGCGUAAAGCGCGCGCAGGCGGCCUGUUAAGUCUGAUGUGAAAGCCCCCGGCUCAACCGGGGAAGGUCAUUGGAAACUGGUAGGCUUGAGUACAGAAGAGGAAAGCGGAAUUCCACGUGUAGCGGUGAAAUGCGUAGAGAUGUGGAGGAACACCAGUGGCGAAGGCGGAUUUCUGGUCUGUAACUGACGCUGAGGCGCGAAAGCGUGGGGAGCAAACAGG